This is a transfer RNA of Hydnomerulius pinastri MD-312, 109 nucleotides long. It matches the Rfam family "tRNA". Rfam says of the family: Transfer RNA (tRNA) molecules are approximately 80 nucleotides in length. Their secondary structure includes four short double-helical elements and three loops (D, anti-codon, and T loops). The record is from Rfam. NCBI's taxonomy places the organism in Eukaryota, Fungi, Basidiomycota, Agaricomycetes, Boletales.
GGCGCCAUAGCCAAGUGGUUACGGCGACAGAUUCGAAUUAUGAUGUUUACGUAAGCAUCACGUGAUCUGUUUCGCUUUGCGAGCGUAGGUUCAAAUCCUGCUGGCGUCG